GGAUGGAAAAUCAGAUGCUGUAAUAAUGCCUGAAUCCAUAUCAAAGCAUGGAGACAACUGGAAAAACGUGGACUUCCUGAUCUUUAACACAUAUACCUGGUGGCUAAAGUAUCCCAAUAUCAAAGUAUUACGAGGAUCGUUCGAUGAAGGAGCCACAGAGUAUGAUGAGGUCGAACGGCAUAUAGCAUACGAGAGAGUUCUGAGGACAUGGGCAAAGUGGGUAGAGGAAAAUGUUGAUCCUAAUCGUACCUCUGUUUUCUUUAGCAGCAUGUUUCCUCAACAUCUACGGAGUUCAGAUUGGAACAACCCAGAUGGGAUUAAUUGUGCGGAGGAGACUAUUCCAAUUCUAAACAUGUCCACCCCACUGGAUGUUAGCACAGACAGGAAAGUUUUCGCAAUUGCUGCAAAUAUUACUCAAUCAAUGAAAAUACCAGUUCACUUCCUCAAUAUAACAACCCUCUCGGAGUAUAGAAAAGAUGCACAUACUUCUUUCUACAAUUCUCAUGGAGGAAAAUUACUUUCCCCAGAGCAGAAAUCUAAUCCUGCUGUGUAUGCAGAUUGUCUUCACUGGUGUCUUCCUGGAGUGCCUGAUACUUGGAAUGAAUUGCUAUAUGCACGCACCAUGGCACAGUCUUGACUUUUGAUUCUAAUUUAGAAUCAAACUCGAGACUUUAUAAUCUAAAAACAACUCUAAUAUCAUUAAAUUAAAGCUC
This 713-nucleotide unclassified non-coding RNA is filed under the name Hevea brasiliensis (rubber tree). The record is from RNAcentral. Lineage: Eukaryota; Viridiplantae; Streptophyta; Magnoliopsida; Malpighiales; Euphorbiaceae.